This 209-nucleotide ribosomal RNA is filed under the name uncultured bacterium. RNAcentral's name for it is "partial 16S ribosomal RNA". It matches the Rfam family "Bacterial small subunit ribosomal RNA", at positions 161 to 386 of the family's 1533-position model. The record is from RNAcentral.
UGCUAAUACCGGAUAAGCCCUUACGGGGAAAGUUUUAACGCCGAAAGAUGAGCCCGCACUUGAUUAGCUAGUUGGUAAGGUAAAAGCUUACCAAGGCAACGAUCAAUAGCUGUUCUUAGAGGAAGACCAGCCACAUUGGGACUGAGACACGGCCCAGACUCCUACGGGCCGCAGCAGUGGGGAAUCUUGCACAAUGGGGGAAACCCUGA